GGGUUGUGAGGUUAAGCGACUAAGCGUACACGGUGGAUGCCCUGGCAGUCAGAGGCGAUGAAGGACGUGCUAAUCUGCGAUAAGCGCCGGUAAGGUGAUAUGAACCGUUAUAACCGGCGAUUUCCGAAUGGGGAAACCCAGUGUGAUUCGUCACACUAUCAUUAACUGAAUCCAUAGGUUAAUGAGGCGAACCGGGGGAACUGAAACAUCUAAGUACCCCGAGGAAAAGAAAUCAACCGAGAUUCCCCCAGUAGCGGCGAGCGAACGGGGAGGAGCCCAGAGCCUGAAUCAGCAUGUGUGUUAGUGGAAGCGUCUGGAAAGGCGCGCGAUACAGGGUGACAGCCCCGUACACAAAAGCGCAUGUGCUGUGAGCUCGAUGAGUAGGGCGGGACACGUGGUAUCCUGUCUGAAUAUGGGGGGACCAUCCUCCAAGGCUAAAUACUCCUGACUGACCGAUAGUGAACCAGUACCGUGAGGGAAAGGCGAAAAGAACCCCGGCGAGGGGAGUGAAAAAGAACCUGAAACCGUGUACGUACAAGCAGUGGGAGCACAGGUUUACCUGUGUGACUGCGUACCUUUUGUAUAAUGGGUCAGCGACUUAUAUUCUGUAGCAAGGUUAACCGAAUAGGGGAGCCGGAGGGAAACCGAGUCUUAAUUGGGCGUUAAGUUGCAGGGUAUAGACCCGAAACCCGGUGAUCUAGCCAUGGGCAGGUUGAAGGUUGGGUAACACUAACUGGAGGACCGAACCGACUAAUGUUGAAAAAUUAGCGGAUGACCUGUGGCUGGGGGUGAAAGGCCAAUCAAACCGGGAGAUAGCUGGUUCUCCCCGAAAGCUAUUUAGGUAGCGCCUCGUGAAUUCAUCUCCGGGGGUAGAGCACUGUUUCGGCUAGGGGGCCAUCCCGGCUUACCAACCCGAUGCAAACUGCGAAUACCGGAGAAUGUUAUCACGGGAGACACACGGCGGGUGCUAACGUCCGUCGUGAAGAGGGAAACAACCCAGACCGCCAGCUAAGGUCCCAAAGUCAUGGUUAAGUGGGAAACGAUGUGGGAAGGCCCAGACAGCCAGGAUGUUGGCUUAGAAGCAGCCAUCAUUUAAAGAAAGCGUAAUAGCUCACUGGUCGAGUCGGCCUGCGCGGAAGAUGUAACGGGGCUAAACCAUGCACCGAAGCUGCGGCAGCGACGCUGAUGCGUUGUUGGGUAGGGGAGCGUUCUGUAAGCCUGCGAAGGUGACCUGUGAGGGUUGCUGGAGGUAUCAGAAGUGCGAAUGCUGACAUAAGUAACGAUAAAGCGGGUGAAAAGCCCGCUCGCCGGAAGACCAAGGGUUCCUGUCCAACGUUAAUCGGGGCAGGGUGAGUCGACCCCUAAGGCGAGGCCGAAAGGCGUAGUCGAUGGGAAACGGGUUAAUAUUCCCGUACUUGGUGUUACUGCGAAGGGGGGACGGAGAAGGCUAUGUUGGCCGGGCGACGGUUGUCCCGGUUUAAGCGUGUAGGUGUGUGUUCCAGGUAAAUCCGGUUCACUUUAACACUGAGGCGUGAUGACGAGGCACUACGGUGCUGAAGCAACAAAUGCCCUGCUUCCAGGAAAAGCCUCUAAGCAUCAGGUAACAUCAAAUCGUACCCCAAACCGACACAGGUGGUCAGGUAGAGAAUACCAAGGCGCUUGAGAGAACUCGGGUGAAGGAACUAGGCAAAAUGGUGCCGUAACUUCGGGAGAAGGCACGCUGACACGUAGGUGAAGUGAUUUACUCACGGAGCUGAAGUCAGUCGAAGAUACCAGCUGGCUGCAACUGUUUAUUAAAAACACAGCACUGUGCAAACACGAAAGUGGACGUAUACGGUGUGACGCCUGCCCGGUGCCGGAAGGUUAAUUGAUGGGGUCAGCGCAAGCGAAGCUCCUGAUCGAAGCCCCGGUAAACGGCGGCCGUAACUAUAACGGUCCUAAGGUAGCGAAAUUCCUUGUCGGGUAAGUUCCGACCUGCACGAAUGGCGUAAUGAUGGCCAGGCUGUCUCCACCCGAGACUCAGUGAAAUUGAACUCGCUGUGAAGAUGCAGUGUACCCGCGGCAAGACGGAAAGACCCCGUGAACCUUUACUAUAGCUUGACACUGAACAUUGAGCCUUGAUGUGUAGGAUAGGUGGGAGGCUUUGAAGUGUGGACGCCAGUCUGCAUGGAGCCGACCUUGAAAUACCACCCUUUAAUGUUUGAUGUUCUAACGUGGACCCGUAAUCCGGGUUGCGGACAGUGUCUGGUGGGUAGUUUGACUGGGGCGGUCUCCUCCUAAAGAGUAACGGAGGAGCACGAAGGUUGGCUAAUCCUGGUCGGACAUCAGGAGGUUAGUGCAAUGGCAUAAGCCAGCUUGACUGCGAGCGUGACGGCGCGAGCAGGUGCGAAAGCAGGUCAUAGUGAUCCGGUGGUUCUGAAUGGAAGGGCCAUCGCUCAACGGAUAAAAGGUACUCCGGGGAUAACAGGCUGAUACCGCCCAAGAGUUCAUAUCGACGGCGGUGUUUGGCACCUCGAUGUCGGCUCAUCACAUCCUGGGGCUGAAGUAGGUCCCAAGGGUAUGGCUGUUCGCCAUUUAAAGUGGUACGCGAGCUGGGUUUAGAACGUCGUGAGACAGUUCGGUCCCUAUCUGCCGUGGGCGCUGGAGAACUGAGGGGGGCUGCUCCUAGUACGAGAGGACCGGAGUGGACGCAUCACUGGUGUUCGGGUUGUCAUGCCAAUGGCACUGCCCGGUAGCUAAAUGCGGAAGAGAUAAGUGCUGAAAGCAUCUAAGCACGAAACUUGCCCCGAGAUGAGUUCUCCCUGAGACUUAGAGUCUCCUGAAGGAACGUUGAAGACGACGACGUUGAUAGGCCGGGUGUGUAAGCGCAGCGAUGCGUUGAGCUAACCGGUACUAAUGAACCGUGAGGCUUAACCUUACAACGCCGAAG
This 2929-nucleotide ribosomal RNA is filed under the name Salmonella enterica subsp. enterica serovar Typhimurium. Its description in RNAcentral is "23S ribosomal RNA". It matches the Rfam family "Bacterial large subunit ribosomal RNA". Lineage: Bacteria; Pseudomonadati; Pseudomonadota; Gammaproteobacteria; Enterobacterales; Enterobacteriaceae. The record is from RNAcentral. RNAcentral also lists the same sequence under 1 other name.